UACUGAUGCCCGCGUCGCGAU
RNAcentral lists this non-coding RNA (21 nucleotides) under Arabidopsis thaliana (thale cress). Lineage: Eukaryota; Viridiplantae; Streptophyta; Magnoliopsida; Brassicales; Brassicaceae. The record is from RNAcentral.